AGAGUUGAUCCUGGCUCAGAACGAACGCUGGCGGCAGGCUUAACACAUGCAAGUCGAGCGAGGACUUCGGUCCUAGCGGCGGACGGGUGAGUAACGCGUGGGAACGUGCCCAUCACUACGGAAUAGUCCCGGGAAACUGGGCUUAAUACCGUAUACGCCCUUCGGGGGAAAGAAUUUCGGUGAUGGAUCGGCCCGCGUCUGAUUAGGUAGUUGGUGGGGUAACGGCCUACCAAGCCGACGAUCAGUAGCUGGUUUGAGAGGAUGAUCAGCCACACUGGGACUGAGACACGGCCCAGACUCCUACGGGAGGCAGCAGUGGGGAAUCUUAGACAAUGGGCGAAAGCCUGAUCUAGCCAUGCCGCGUGAGUGACGAAGGCCCUAGGGUCGUAAAGCUCUUUCACCAGGGAGGAUAAUGACGGUACCUGGAGAAGAAACCCCGGUUAACUCCGUGCCAGCAGCCGCGGUAAUACGGAGGGGGUAAGGCGUUGUACGGAAUUACUGGGCGU
RNAcentral lists this ribosomal RNA (506 nucleotides) under uncultured organism. Its description in RNAcentral is "bacterial SSU rRNA". It matches the Rfam family "Bacterial small subunit ribosomal RNA", at positions 8 to 561 of the family's 1533-position model. The record is from RNAcentral.